This 2541-nucleotide long non-coding RNA is filed under the name Carassius auratus (goldfish). RNAcentral's name for it is "lncRNA (ENSCARG00000033082.1)". The record is from RNAcentral. Lineage: Eukaryota; Metazoa; Chordata; Actinopteri; Cypriniformes; Cyprinidae.
UAUGGAAAGUUCUCCUUUUGUGUUUCCUUUGUGAUGACACUGUAAUCACAAAAUACAACACAAACAUGAUUUUUCUCAUUUGUUCUGUCUUUAACAGACUGGGAAGAGGAGCAGGUGAGCAGUCCGAAUAUCCUGCGCCUCAUCUACCAGGGCCGAUUCCUACACGGCAAUGUGACGCUAGGAGCUUUAAAACUGCCACUCGGAAAAACCACAGUGAUGCAUUUAGUUGCCAGAGAGACGCUGCCCGAGCCAAAUUCCCAAGGUCAGAGGAACCGGGAAAAGACUGGAGAGAGCAACUGUUGUGUGAUCCUGUAAAUACAUCCCAUCAUCCCUCAGAACGAGUGUGUCCUAUCACCCUUCGCCCAUGCUGCUUAAACACAUCUAAUCACACCCGACUCCCACGAGCACCCGACCAGAUCAAGAGCUUCGCUUCUCCUGGAAAGGAAAAAAAAAAAGAUAAAAAUCACCUGAGACACGGAUAUGAGAACAUUUCGGCUUCGCAGUCUGUAUUUAAGCCAAAAAAUCAGAUAAUAAAAUGCAUCCCACCUUUACACACACAUUUCCACUGUUUCUAACAUCUUCACACGCAUCCAUGAACUCAUUCAAACACACGCGCACACACACACACACACACUCCUGCCAGUUUGCACACGGAGGAGGCCCUCUUUUCUCAGUUUUUUUAUUGCACAUAGUAACAUGAUUGAUUCAGUGAGGAAAAAAGAGACUUGUUCGCCUCAGCCCAGGCCCUUGAUUCUUCCUCUCAGGGGGGAGACGUGUGAGGGGGGGAUUAAUUUACACAGCACAGUGCAGGAGAUCAAGUAUUUAUGUGCCUGUUGAACGUUUUAGAAAUGUUUCUUAUACAUUUCCAUGCGUUUUAAAUGCCCCAUUAAGGUCCUGGAGAUCCAGCAUCCUGCUCUAUUGAGUUCCUGUACGCCAGAAGUGUUUCAAGCACAGUCGGGACUUUUUUGCAGGAAGGUAGAUCUCCAGAAGAUGGUUGGAUUGACUCAUGGGAAAGUCUAAAAUACACAUAACGAGUAACAUUUACAGUAACAUUUGCGACUGUGUUUUGACAGUCAACCAGUGUUGCGACUUCCCUCUUUAGACAGAUCCGAGCUGCUCUCUUUCAGGAAGGGUUAUAAGAUUUAUUCCUUUAUUUUCUAAGUAGGGUAGUGGUGUCAAUGAAUGCUUGCGUUUGGAGCCAGAAGAUAAUUAUGGAAUGAAGUUUGGCUUGGUUUCUAUUUCCCCUUCCUUAUUAGAUAUAAAAUUCGUUUGCACAACACGGAAACAUGAGCUGUUUCGUUUCUAAAUCGGUGUAAUUUUUUCUUUCCCCUACUCCCUUUUUAAUAUUUUUCCAAAUGGGAAGUGUAUUCGAAGGUUACAUAUGUGUAGAGUAUAUUUAAUAUGAAUCUUAUAGAGAACAUAAAUAUAGAUUGUUGAUAUAUAUUGGUGUCUAGUGUAUGAUAGUUUAAAAACCGUUAGCACAUUAGCAUAUGAAGCAGCGAGAUGUACUUUAACAGCAGCAAAUCCCUCUAAUGGCUGAAUAAAUUACUGUUUUCGUCUCUCUUUUUUUUAAUCAAAUGUUCAUAAUUUGAUGUUUCAUUUUUGACUUCAUUUUUCUUUUUAUGUGUUCUUUGCUUUCUGCUUUUUAACACCGCACUAGGUCUGAAAAAUAUUGGUCCUUAUCAGGGUUAAAAUCUGUACAGAGCUGAAGUUUUUAAAAAGAUAAUUGUAAAUAAACUAAUGCUUAUCAUUCUCUAAACUACAAAUGGAAAUACAUAUAUAAACUGAAUAAAGAGUCCAGAAUAUUGAAGUGAAAUGGUUAUUGCUUGAUUGUUUACAGUGAGUUUGAGGGCGUGAAAUGUAUGUUCUUUUUCCGACACUUGAGAAAACACACACAUAUAAUGGGUAUUCUGAAUAUUUUUAUAUUUCACAGUAUUCGUGUUUUACUGUAUUUUCAUAAAUUCAGCAUAUAAAUAACAUACAGCUUAUGUGAACAUGAGACUUAUUUAAAAAUGAUUUAAAUCGUGUAUUUAUUACUAGUAUUUUAGUUCUAGUCAUGCAGUCUCAAUAAUCUCUGUUAUCGUGUAUGGAAGUUUAUGGGUGAACGUUAUUAAUAUUCUUCUCUAAUUGUGAUCGUUUUGCGCCAUCUUGUGGGUAAACUGAUAAUUACACAUCUCUUAUUUGCACAAAUCACAUUAGUUUUAUUGGUUUAUAUUAUAUUUAUUUAUUAGUAUUUAUAGUUUUUUUAGUUGAUAAAUUAAGAUAAGGAAAUUAAAAAUAUAACUAAAUUUAGAUUUGACUUGUUUAGUCGCCAAGUACCAAGCAACACUUAGUCGAAAACAAGUUUUGAUCUAAUAUGAAAAACACUUUUAGGGACUUAAUUUUAAUCUAAUGCCUGGAAAAAUACAAGACGCACGAUUAUAGUAAUAUAAAACAUGGAUAUAAUAAUGUAUUUAAAUGGCGAACAGUACUAAACCUAAAGAGCGCACAUAUCGACCUUUGAUACAACUUCCUGCGCGGUAAGAUUUUUUUUUUUAUUGU